This 22-nucleotide non-coding RNA is filed under the name Rattus norvegicus (Norway rat). The record is from RNAcentral. Lineage: Eukaryota; Metazoa; Chordata; Mammalia; Rodentia; Muridae.
UGCCACCGCUGCAGCCCCCAAG